GAUGAACGCUGGCGGCGUGCCUAAUACAUGCAAGUCGAGCGAACAGACGAGGAGCUUGCUCCUCUGACGUUAGCGGCGGACGGGUGAGUAACACGUGGAUAACCUACCUAUAAGACUGGGAUAACUUCGGGAAACCGGAGCUAAUACCGGAUAAUAUAUUGAACCGCAUGGUUCAAUAGUGAAAGACGGUUUUGCUGUCACUUAUAGAUGGAUCCGCGCCGCAUUAGCUAGUUGGUAAGGUAACGGCUUACCAAGGCAACGAUGCGUAGCCGACCUGAGAGGGUGAUCGGCCACACUGGAACUGAGACAAGGUCCAGACUCCUACGGGAGGCAGCAGUAGGGAAUCUUCCGCAAUGGGAGAAAGCCUGACGGAGCAACGCCGCGUGAGUGAUGAAGGUCUUCGGAUCGUAAAACUCUGUUAUUAGGGAAGAACAAAUGUGUAAGUAACUAUGCACGUCUUGAAGGUACCUAAUCAGAAAGCCACGGCUAACUACGUG
RNAcentral lists this ribosomal RNA (497 nucleotides) under uncultured bacterium. Its description in RNAcentral is "partial 16S ribosomal RNA". It matches the Rfam family "Bacterial small subunit ribosomal RNA", at positions 28 to 507 of the family's 1533-position model. The record is from RNAcentral.